Molecule: ribosomal RNA, 429 nt
Filed under: Actinomycetes bacterium
Lineage: Bacteria; Bacillati; Actinomycetota; Actinomycetes
Description: Actinobacteria bacterium partial 16S ribosomal RNA
Rfam family: Bacterial small subunit ribosomal RNA
Source: RNAcentral
UAGGGAAUCUUCCGCAAUGGGCGAAAGCCUGACGGAGCAACGCCGCGUGAGUGAUGAAGGUCUUCGGAUCGUAAAACUCUGUUAUUAGGGAAGAACAAAUGUGUAAGUAACUAUGCACGUCUUGACGGUACCUAAUCAGAAAGCCACGGCUAACUACGUGCCAGCAGCCGCGGUAAUACGUAGGUGGCAAGCGUUAUCCGGAAUUAUUGGGCGUAAAGCGCGCGUAGGCUGUUUUUUAAGUCUGAUGUGAAAGCCCACGGCUCAACCGUGGAGGGUCAUUGGAAACUGGAAAACUUGAGUGCAGAAGAGGAAAGUGGAAUGCCAUGUGUAGCGGUGAAAUGCGCAGAGAUAUGGAGGAACACCAGUGGCGAAGGCGACUUUCUGGUCUGUAACUGACGCUGAUGUGCGAAAGCGUGGGGAUCAAACAGG